Molecule: ribosomal RNA, 324 nt
Filed under: uncultured bacterium
Lineage: Bacteria
Description: bacterial SSU rRNA
Rfam family: Bacterial small subunit ribosomal RNA
Source: RNAcentral
GAUGAACGCUGGCGGCGUGCUUAACACAUGCAAGUCGAGCGAAGCACUUUUGCGGAUUUCUUCGGAUUGAAGCAACUGUGACUGAGCGGCGACGGGUGAAGUAACGCGUGGGUAACCUGCCUCAUACAGGGGGAUAACAGUUGGAAACGGCUGCUAAUACCGCAUAAUGCAACGGAAUCGCAUGACUCUGUUGCCAAAGAUUUAUCGCUCUGAGAUGGCCUCGCGUCUGAUUAGCUAGUUGGUGAGGUAACGGCCCACCAAGGCGACGAUCGGUAGCCGGACUGAGAGGUUGAACGGCCACAUUGGGACUGAGACACGGCCCAG